RNAcentral lists this ribosomal RNA (433 nucleotides) under uncultured bacterium. Its description in RNAcentral is "partial 16S ribosomal RNA". It matches the Rfam family "Bacterial small subunit ribosomal RNA", at positions 29 to 507 of the family's 1533-position model. The record is from RNAcentral.
AACGAACGCUGGCGGCAGGCCUAACACAUGCAAGUCGAGCGAGGACUUCGGUCCUAGCGGCGGACGGGUGAGUAACGCGUGGGAACGUGCCCUUUGCUUCGGAAUAGCCCUGGGAAACUGGGAGUAAUACCGGAUGAGCCCUUUGGGGGAAAGAUUUAUCGGCGAAGGAUCGGCCCGCGUUGGAUUAGGUAGUUGGUGGGGUAAUGGCCUACCAAGCCGACGAUCCAUAGCUGGUUUGAGAGGAUGAUCAGCCACACUGGGACUGAGACACGGCCCAGACUCCUACGGGAGGCAGCAGUGGGGAAUCUUAGACAAUGGGGGAAAACCUGAUCUAGCCAUGCCGCGUGAGAGAUGAAGGCCUUAGGGUUGUAAAGCUCUUUCAGCUGGGAAGAUAAUGACGGUACCAGCAGAAGAAGCCCCGGCUAACUCCGUG